This 72-nucleotide transfer RNA is filed under the name Sarcina sp. DSM 11001. It matches the Rfam family "tRNA". From Rfam's summary of the family: Transfer RNA (tRNA) molecules are approximately 80 nucleotides in length. Their secondary structure includes four short double-helical elements and three loops (D, anti-codon, and T loops). Lineage: Bacteria; Bacillati; Bacillota; Clostridia; Eubacteriales; Clostridiaceae. The record is from Rfam by way of RNAcentral.
GUCCCUGUAGGCUAAAGGAAAGACUGGGUGGCUACGAACCAUCUGAUGCGCGUUCAAGUCGCGCCGGGGAUA